GGCCUGGGGGCAUCACGGCGGUGCGUGGCGCCUCCGCCGCCUCUUCGGAGCCCUCGCGGCGCUGAUGGUGCUGGGUCACGGCCUGUUCGGUCUC
RNAcentral lists this transfer RNA (94 nucleotides) under Methylobacterium longum. Its description in RNAcentral is "tRNA-Gly". The record is from RNAcentral. Lineage: Bacteria; Pseudomonadati; Pseudomonadota; Alphaproteobacteria; Hyphomicrobiales; Methylobacteriaceae.